UAGAGUUUGAUCCUGGCUCAGGAUGAACGCUGGCGGCGUGCUUAACACAUGCAAGUCGAACGAAGCGAUCAGGAGGAAGUUUUCGGAUGGAAUCCGGAUUGACUGAGUGGCGGACGGGUGAGUAACGCGUGGGUAACCUGCCUCAUACAGGGGGAUAACAGUUAGAAAUGACUGCUAAUACCGCAUAAGCGCACAGGGACACAUGUUCCGGUGUGAAAAACUCCGGUGGUAUGAGAUGGACCCGCGUCUGAUUAGCUGGUUGGCGGGGUAACGGCCCACCAAGGCGACGAUCAGUAGCCGACCUGAGAGGGUGACCGGCCACAUUGGGACUGAGACACGGCCCAAACUCCUACGGGAGGCAGCAGUGGGGAAUAUUGCACAAUGGGGGAAACCCUGAUGCAGCAACGCCGCGUGAGUGAAGAAGUAUUUCGGUAUGUAAAGCUCUAUCAGCAGGGAAGAAGAUGACGGUACCUGAGUAAGAAGCCCCGGCUAACUACGUGCCAGCAGCCGCGGUAAUACGUAGGGGGCAAGCGUUAUCCGGAUUUACUGGGUGUAAAGGGAGCGUAGACGGUGAGACAAGUCUGAAGUGAAAGCCCGGGGCUCAACCCCGGGACUGCUUUGGAAACUGCCUGACUGGAGUGCUGGAGAGGCAAGCGGAAUUCCUAGUGUAGCGGUGAAAUGCGUAGAUAUUAGGAAGAACACCAGUGGCGAAGGCGGCUUGCUGGACAGUAACUGACGUUGAGGCUCGAAAGCGUGGGGAGCAAACAGGAUUAGAUCCCCUGGUAGUCCACGCC
RNAcentral lists this ribosomal RNA (794 nucleotides) under uncultured bacterium. Its description in RNAcentral is "bacterial SSU rRNA". It matches the Rfam family "Bacterial small subunit ribosomal RNA", at positions 1 to 801 of the family's 1533-position model. The record is from RNAcentral.